Molecule: ribosomal RNA, 119 nt
Filed under: Pteropus alecto (black flying fox)
Lineage: Eukaryota; Metazoa; Chordata; Mammalia; Chiroptera; Pteropodidae
Source: RNAcentral
GUCUACGGUCAUGCCACCCUGAACAAGCCCUAUCCCAUCUGAUCUUGGAAGCUAAGCAGCGUCAGGCCUGGUUAGUACUUGGAUGGGAGAUCACCUAGGAAGACCAAGUGCUAUAAGCA